This 458-nucleotide ribosomal RNA is filed under the name marine sediment bacterium ISA-1311. Its description in RNAcentral is "bacterial SSU rRNA". It matches the Rfam family "Bacterial small subunit ribosomal RNA", at positions 37 to 489 of the family's 1533-position model. The record is from RNAcentral.
UGGCGGCAGGCCUAACACAUGCAAGUCGAGCGGUAACAGAAAGUAGCUUGCUACUUUGCUGACGAGCGGCGGACGGGUGAGUAAUGCUUGGGAACAUGCCUUGAGGUGGGGGACAACAGUUGGAAACGACUGCUAAUACCGCAUAAUGUCUACGGACCAAAGGGGGCUUCGGCUCUCGCCUUUAGAUUGGCCCAAGUGGGAUUAGCUAGUUGGUGAGGUAAUGGCUCACCAAGGCGACGAUCCCUAGCUGGUUUGAGAGGAUGAUCAGCCACACUGGGACUGAGACACGGCCCAGACUCCUACGGGAGGCAGCAGUGGGGAAUAUUGCACAAUGGGCGCAAGCCUGAUGCAGCCAUGCCGCGUGUGUGAAGAAGGCCUUACGGGUUGUAAAGCACUUUCAGUCAGGAGGAAAGGUUAGUAGUUAAUACCUGCUAGCUGUGACGUUACUGACAGAAGAA